RNAcentral lists this ribosomal RNA (278 nucleotides) under uncultured bacterium. Its description in RNAcentral is "partial 16S ribosomal RNA". It matches the Rfam family "Bacterial small subunit ribosomal RNA", at positions 29 to 334 of the family's 1533-position model. The record is from RNAcentral.
AGCGAACAUUGGCGGCAGGCCUAACACAUGCAAGUCGAACGCGUUCUUCGGAACGAGUGGCGAACGGGUGAGUACAACUUGGGAAUCUGCCUUUCACUGGGGGAUAACUAUUGGAAACAGUAGCUAAUACCGCAUACGCCCUUAGGGGGAAAACUCCGGUGGUGAAAGAUGAGCCCAAGCUUGAUUAGCUAGUUGGUGAGGUAAGAGCUCACCAAGGCGACGAUCAAUAGCUGGUUUGAGAGGAUGAUCAGCCACACUGGGACUGAGACACGGCCCAG